Molecule: ribosomal RNA, 433 nt
Filed under: uncultured bacterium
Lineage: Bacteria
Description: partial 16S ribosomal RNA
Rfam family: Bacterial small subunit ribosomal RNA
Source: RNAcentral
GACGAACGCUGGCGGCAUGCCUAACACAUGCAAGUCGAACGAGACCUUCGGGCCUUGGGGCGCACCUCUGCGUAAGACGUGGGGACUUGCCCUUAGGUUACCUAUACCUCCCCGAAAGGGAUCCUCAUAACAGAUAGUGUCUUCCCGGCUAAGGUCUAUUGCUUUGGGAUGGGCGCGCGUUGGAUUCGGCAGUUGGUAGGGUAAAAGCCUACCAAGGGGUCGAUCCUUAGCUGGUCUGUUACGAUGAUCAUCAACGCUGGGACUGAGACACGGCCCAGCAUCCUACGGGAGGCAGCAGUGGGGAAUAUUGGACGAGGGGCGAAAGCGUGAUCCAGCAGUGCCGGGGGAGUGAUGAAGGGCUUAGGGUUGUAAAGCUCUUUUACCCGGGAUGAUAAUGACGGUACCGGGUGAAGAAGCUCCGGCUAACUCCGUG